RNAcentral lists this ribosomal RNA (483 nucleotides) under uncultured bacterium. RNAcentral describes it as "partial 16S ribosomal RNA". It matches the Rfam family "Bacterial small subunit ribosomal RNA", at positions 29 to 506 of the family's 1533-position model. The record is from RNAcentral.
AUUGAACGCUAGCGGGAUGCUUUACACAUGCAAGUCGAACGGCAGCGCGGACUUCGGUCUGGCGGCGAGUGGCGAACGGGUGAGUAAUGUAUCGGAACGUGCCCAGUAGCGGGGGAUAACUACGCGAAAGCGUAGCUAAUACCGCAUACGCCCUACGGGGAAAAGCAGGGGAUCGUAAGACCUUGCACUAUUGGAGCGGCCGAUAUCGGAUUAGCUAGUUGGUGAGGUAACGGCUCACCAAGGCGACGAUCCGUAGCUGGUUUGAGAGGACGACCAGCCAAACUGGAAAGGGAAAAGGGCCCAGAAGCAUAGGGGAGGCAGCAGGGGGGAAUUUUGGACAAUGGGGGAAACCCGGAUCCAGCCACCCCGGGUGGGGGAUGAAGGCCUUGGGGUUGUAAAGAAAUUUUGGAAGGAAAAAAAGGGCGCGGGCUAAUACCCCGGGGAACUGACGGUACCUGAAGAAAAAACACCGGCUAACUACGU